Molecule: non-coding RNA, 29 nt
Filed under: Mus musculus (house mouse)
Lineage: Eukaryota; Metazoa; Chordata; Mammalia; Rodentia; Muridae
Source: RNAcentral
UGAUUAUAAACUAGAGUUUCUGCCUCAGC